UACGUAGGGUGCGAGCGUUAAUCGGAUUUACUGGGCGUAAAGCGUGCGCGGGCGGCCCGUUAAGACAGGUGUGAAAUCCCUGGGCUCAACCUAGGAAUUGCGCUUGUGACUGGCGGGCUCGAGUACGGUAGAGGGGGGUGGAAUUCCUGGUGUAGCAGUGAAAUGCGUAGAGAUCAGGAGGAACACCGAUGGCGAAGGCAGCCCCCUGGGCCUGUACUGACGCUCAUGCACGAAAGCGUGGGGAGCAAACAGG
RNAcentral lists this ribosomal RNA (253 nucleotides) under uncultured microorganism. Its description in RNAcentral is "partial 16S ribosomal RNA". It matches the Rfam family "Bacterial small subunit ribosomal RNA", at positions 524 to 776 of the family's 1533-position model. The record is from RNAcentral.